AAGACUAUACUUCACAGGAUCAUUUCUGUAGUCAGUCUUCACUUACUUUCACACUAACUGAAAGCCUCUUACACCCGCGUUGAUGAGAUACAUCGUUUUAUUCGGCAGCGUGAGGAUUUGUGUGAUGCUCUUUUGCGAUGUUACUUCGGUUACAUCGUACUGUGAGUAUUGCACUUCGAUGAUCGCUCGGUAACACGAAUAAAACGAAUUCUGAGUGGU
Drosophila nasuta is the source of this 219-nucleotide small nucleolar RNA. RefSeq annotates it as small nucleolar RNA U3. The record is from RefSeq and is a predicted model, not a curated record. The transcript has a single exon. Lineage: Eukaryota; Metazoa; Arthropoda; Insecta; Diptera; Drosophilidae.